GUAGGUGGCAAGCGUUGUCCGGAAUUAUUGGGCGUAAAGCGCGCGCAGGCGGUUCUUUAAGUCUGGUGUGAAAGCCCACGGCUCAACCGUGGAGGGUCAUUGGAAACUGGAGAACUUGAGUACAGAAGAGGAAAGCGGAAUUCCACGUGUAGCGGUGAAAUGCGUAGAGAUGUGGAGGAACACCAGUGGCGAAGGCGGCUUUCUGGUCUGUAACUGACGCUGAGGCGCGAAAGCGUGGGGAGCAAACAGGGAUUAGAUACCCUGGUAGUCCACGCCGUAAACGAUGAGUGCUAAGUGUUAGGGGGGUUUCCCGCCCCCUUAGUGCUGCAGCUAACGCAUUAAGCACUCCGCCUGGGGAGUACGGCCGCAAGGCUG
Molecule: ribosomal RNA, 375 nt
Filed under: uncultured organism
Description: partial 16S ribosomal RNA
Rfam family: Bacterial small subunit ribosomal RNA
Source: RNAcentral